UACGGAGGGUGCGAGCGUUGUCCGGAAUCACUGGGCGUAAAGCGCGCGUAGGUGGCCUCGUAAGUCCGCUGUGAAAGUCAAAGGCUCAACCUUUGAAAGCCGGUGGAUACUGUGGGGCUAGAGUACGGAAGAGGCGAGUGGAAUUCCUGGUGUAGCGGUGGAAUGCGCAGAUAUCAGGAGGAACACCAAUAGCGAAGGCAGCUCGCUGGGACGUUACUGACACUGAGGCGCGAAAGCGUGGGGAGCGAACAGG
This 253-nucleotide ribosomal RNA is filed under the name uncultured bacterium. Its description in RNAcentral is "partial 16S ribosomal RNA". It matches the Rfam family "Bacterial small subunit ribosomal RNA", at positions 524 to 776 of the family's 1533-position model. The record is from RNAcentral.